UACGAAGGGUGCAAGCGUUACUCGGAAUUACUGGGCGUAAAGCGUGCGUAGGUGGUUUGUUAAGUCUGUUGUGAAAGCCCCGGGCUCAACCUGGGAAUGGCAAUGGAUACUGGCAAGCUAGAGUGCGGUAGAGGGUAGUGGAAUUCCCGGUGUAGCGGUGAAAUGCGUAGAGAUCGGGAGGAACACCAGUGGCGAAGGCGGCUACCUGGACCGACACUGACACUGAGGAGCGAAAGCCAGGGGAGCAAACGGG
Molecule: ribosomal RNA, 253 nt
Filed under: uncultured bacterium
Lineage: Bacteria
Description: partial 16S ribosomal RNA
Rfam family: Bacterial small subunit ribosomal RNA
Source: RNAcentral